UGAGGAAAGCCUCUUGCCCGGUUAGGUUACCAGUCCACAGCUAGUGACUUGUGGCUGAGUUUUAGCCUCCCUUUGUCUCUCAAGUCCCUGCUACUACUCUCCUCAGACUGCCCCGCGUGCAGACACUGGCUCCAGGCCUUCAUCUUAGGAUCAGACAAAGGGCAGCAAGGUCACAAAAGGCAGGCUCCAGCCACAUGCCUUUGAAGAGGUCCCCGACACAGGGAGCCAGCGCUUGGAGACACUGGUUGAGCCAGUGGUUCCCAGGCAGCUUCUGUUUAUCUGUUCCUCUGUUGAUUUCCUGGCUUUUCGGACUUCUGUUUCGGAAGCAAUUUUUGAAGUUUAGAGUUAUUGCUGUACUAGCUCUGGACACUUUGUCCAAGCGAGCGCAUAACGGGACGUGAAAUCAGAGGUGACUGAAGCCGGCUUCCUGGGUCAGGCUGCUGCAGUCAGGCCACUGGGUUUCCUAGGCAGGAAAGACAAGCUGCAAACUGGCGAUCCCGGAGGGCCUCACAUCAUAGCCCAGGCUGACCUGGAAUUCCUGGAACUCCUGUGUUGCAGCCUCUGGAGCACUGGGAUUACAGGAGAGAGCCACCACAACUGGCUGCAACCACUUUCUCACAGCUGUCACGGAUGCAUGAAAGCUGAGUGGCCAGGCUGGGAGACACACAGAUGACUCAGAACCAUCUUGCAGACUCCAUCUAGAGUUCUUUGGAAAGAGGUGGAGUGGAGUGUUUGCAAGAGAGGGAUAUCCUCAAGCCCCACAUGAAAAAAAUGGAUGUCCUUGGACUGCAGAUUACUCUCUCUCUCUUGAUUUAAUCUGUGACACUGGCUUGCCACACUGCCAGUGGGGGCCUGGGUUAGGGCCGUGGUCCUGAAAAAUAAACAGUUCCCAAUGCCAUAA
Molecule: long non-coding RNA, 901 nt
Organism: Mesocricetus auratus (golden hamster)
Lineage: Eukaryota; Metazoa; Chordata; Mammalia; Rodentia; Cricetidae
Exons: 4
Source: RefSeq, a predicted model, not a curated record